GGAUGUGAAGGCGAUCUGGCUGCGACAUCUGUCACCCCAUCGAUUGCCAGGGUUGAUUCAGCUGAUCUGGCUGGCUAGGCGGGUGUCCCCGUCCUCCCUCAACGAUCCGUGUGCAUCCAGCCCGAAGCUGUGUGCUUGGUUGAAGAGGACGACCACCCGAUAGAGGAGGGCCGUUCCGCGGUCAAGGGUGUCUGAGUAGCUGCGCCCCCUGCUAGAACCUCCAAACAAAUAUAGUUCAGAAGUAAGGAAAGGGAUAUGCAGCCUUGCAUUUCUUGUUUUGGUGAACCAAAAUAUGGCAGCUCUUUGUCCUUCUUU
Molecule: small nuclear RNA, 315 nt
Filed under: Octodon degus (degu)
Lineage: Eukaryota; Metazoa; Chordata; Mammalia; Rodentia; Octodontidae
Description: 7SK RNA (ENSODEG00000023687.1)
Rfam family: 7SK RNA
About the family: 7SK was discovered as an abundant small nuclear RNA in the mid-70s but a possible function has only recently been suggested. Two independent studies have found that 7SK RNA binds the CDK9/cyclin T complex (known as elongation factor P-TEFb).
Source: Rfam by way of RNAcentral